Molecule: ribosomal RNA, 254 nt
Filed under: uncultured bacterium
Lineage: Bacteria
Description: partial 16S ribosomal RNA
Rfam family: Bacterial small subunit ribosomal RNA
Source: RNAcentral
UACGUAGGGGGCAAGCGUUGUCCGGAAUCAUUGGGCGUAAAGCGCGUGUAGGCGGCUCGAUAAGUCUGCUGUGAAAGUCCAGGGCUCAACCCUGGGAUGCCGGUGGAUACUGUCGAGCUCGAGUCCGGAAGAGGCGAGUGGAAUUCCUGGUGUAGCGGUGAAAUACGUAGAUAUCAAGAGGAACACCUGAGGUGAAGACGGGUUGCUGGGCUGACACUGACGCUGAGUGCGCGAAAGCUAGGGUAGCAAACAGG